RNAcentral lists this ribosomal RNA (253 nucleotides) under uncultured bacterium. RNAcentral describes it as "partial 16S ribosomal RNA". It matches the Rfam family "Bacterial small subunit ribosomal RNA", at positions 524 to 776 of the family's 1533-position model. The record is from RNAcentral.
UACGUAGGUGGCGAGCGUUACCCGGAAUCACUGGGUGUAAAACGUGGGUAGGUGGCAUAGAAAGUACAGUGUGAAAUCCUGCGGCUCAACCGCAGGGCUGCACUGUAAACUGCUAUGCUAGAGUAGGGCAGAGGUGAGCGGAAUUCCCGGUGUACCGGUAAAAUGGGUAGAUAUCGGGAGGAACACCAUUGGCGAAAGCGGCUCACCAGGCCCUUACUUACGCUGAGCCACGAAAGCGUGGGGAGCAAACAGG